AUCAAGCGUCUUAUGGAUCUUGGUUGUUAUCGUGGUCUCCGCCAUCGUCGUAGCCUGCCUCUCCGUGGGCAACGUACUAAGACCA
Molecule: transfer RNA, 85 nt
Filed under: Shewanella putrefaciens
Lineage: Bacteria; Pseudomonadati; Pseudomonadota; Gammaproteobacteria; Alteromonadales; Shewanellaceae
Description: tRNA-Tyr
Source: RNAcentral